This 460-nucleotide ribosomal RNA is filed under the name uncultured bacterium. RNAcentral describes it as "partial 16S ribosomal RNA". It matches the Rfam family "Bacterial small subunit ribosomal RNA", at positions 338 to 795 of the family's 1533-position model. The record is from RNAcentral.
CCUACGGGAGGCAGCAGUGAGGAAUAUUGGUCAAUGGACGAUAGUCUGAACCAGCCAAGUAGCGUGAAGGAUGACUGCCCUAUGGGUUGUAAACUUCUUUUAUAAAGGAAUAAAACGAGGCACGUGUGCCUCUUUGCAUGUACUUUAUGAAUAAGGAUCGGCUAACUCCGUGCCAGCAGCCGCGGUAAUACGGAGGAUCCGAGCGUUAUCCGGAUUUAUUGGGUUUAAAGGGAGCGUAGAUGGGUUGUUAAGUCAGUUGUGAAAGUUUGCGGCUCAACCGUAAAAUUGCAAUUGAUACUGGCAGUCUUGAGUACAGGUGAGGUAGGCGGAAUUCGUGGUGUAGCGGUGAAAUGCUUAGAUAUCACGAAGAACCCCGAUUGCGAAGGCAGCUUACUAGACUGUGACUGACAUUGAUGCUCGAAAGUGUGGGUAUCAAACAGGAUUAGAUACCCUAGUAGUC